ACCACUCUGUCCACGAUCGCAGAGACGUUGUCCACAAUUGCAGAGUCUUUGCACAAUGAAGAAGUUCUUUGAAAUUAGGACUGAGGCCUCCAGAAUUCAAACUUAAAUCAUUAAAUCACAGAGAAGACACCCAUGCCAAGACAUUUCCAGAAGGUCUUCAGCUGCUGUCGUCAUCUUCUCCUCCUGCAGAGACAAGAACAUGUGUUAAUCACAGAAAUUGACAUUUUUGAUGCAUGACAUGCGGCUUAGGCAGCUAUCUCACCUUUGUUUUCCACAGACACACACACUCUCUCACACCUCUACACAGUGUUUGUGGGUUUGGUUAGAUUUUGUGUUUGUCAUUUCAGUUUUGGUAUUUUGCUAUUUGAAACAGUGCAUUAUCAGUACUCUAAUUUAAUUUA
Molecule: long non-coding RNA, 401 nt
Organism: Lates calcarifer (barramundi perch)
Lineage: Eukaryota; Metazoa; Chordata; Actinopteri; Centropomidae
Exons: 3
Source: RefSeq, a predicted model, not a curated record